AGAGUUUGAUCCUGGCUCAGAACGAACGUUAGCGGCGCGCCUAAGACAUGCAAGUCGAGCGAGAAAGGGCUUCGGCCCCGGUAAAGCGGCGCACGGGUGAGUAACACGUAGGUAAUCAACCCUCGAGUGGUGGACAACUCUCCGAAAGGAGAGCUAAUACAGCAUGACGGAGCUACCUUCCGAGGUAGUUUCCAAAGCGGGCCUCUUCUUGAAAGCUCGCGCUCGGGGAUGAGCCUGCGGCCCAUCAGCUAGUUGGUCGGGGUAAUGGCCCACCAAGGCUAAGACGGGUAGCUGGUCUGAGAGGAUGAACAGCCACACUGGAACUGAGACACGGUCCAGACUCCUACGGGAGGCAGCAGUCGGGAAUCUUCCGCAAUGGGCGCAAGCCUGACGGAGCGACGCCGCGUGAGCGAUGAAGGCCUUCGGGUUGUAAAGCUCUGUGGGGAGGGAAGAAUAAGCGCUGGUUAAUAACCAGCGUGAUGACGGUACCUCCUUAGCAAGCACCGGCUAACUCUGUGCCAGCAGCCGCGGUAAGACAGAGGGUGCAAACGUUGUUCGGAUUUACUGGGCGUAAAGCGUGUGUAGGCGGCUUUGCAAGUCGGAUGUGAAAUCCCACGGCUCAACCGUGGAAGUGCAUCCGAAACGGCAUCGCUUGAGUCCCGGAGAGGAAGGUGGAAUGCUUGGUGUAGAGGUGAAAUUCGUAGAUNUCAAGCANAACACCUGCGGCGA
RNAcentral lists this ribosomal RNA (729 nucleotides) under uncultured bacterium. Its description in RNAcentral is "bacterial SSU rRNA". It matches the Rfam family "Bacterial small subunit ribosomal RNA", at positions 8 to 718 of the family's 1533-position model. The record is from RNAcentral.